GAAAGAUCGGGAGUUGCUUUGCACUCUGUGAAAACAAGAUACAGGGCUAGCGGCGGACGGGGUGAGUAAACACGUGGGGUAAACCCUGCCCAAAGAGAUCGGGAUAACACCUGGAAACAGAUGCUAAUACCGGAUAACAACAGAUGAUGCCUAUCAACUGUUUUAAAAGAUGGGUUCUGCUAUCACUCUUGGAUGGACCUGCGGUGCAUUAGCUAGUUGGUAGGGUAACGGCCUACCAAGGCGAUGAUGCAUAGCCCGAGUUGAGAGACUGAUCGGCCACAUUGGGACUGAGACACGGCCCAAACUCCUACGGGAGGCAGCAGUAGGGAAUCUUCCACAAUGGACGCAAGUCUGAUGGAGCAACGCCGCGUGAGUGAAGAAGGGUUUCGGCUCGUAAAGCUCUGUUGUUGGUCGAAGAAGGACAGGGGGUAGUAACUGACCUUUGUUUGACGGUAAUCAAUUAGAAAGUCACGGCUAACUACGUGCCAGCAGCCGCGGUAAU
This 502-nucleotide ribosomal RNA is filed under the name uncultured Lactobacillus sp. RNAcentral describes it as "bacterial SSU rRNA". It matches the Rfam family "Bacterial small subunit ribosomal RNA", at positions 57 to 524 of the family's 1533-position model. Lineage: Bacteria; Bacillati; Bacillota; Bacilli; Lactobacillales; Lactobacillaceae. The record is from RNAcentral.